This 636-nucleotide ribosomal RNA is filed under the name Amphistegina lobifera. RNAcentral describes it as "SSU rRNA". It matches the Rfam family "Eukaryotic small subunit ribosomal RNA", at positions 1176 to 1804 of the family's 1831-position model. The record is from RNAcentral. Lineage: Eukaryota; Foraminifera; Rotaliida; Amphisteginidae.
GUGGAGCAUGUGGCUUAAUUUGACUCAACGCGGGGAAUCUUACUAGGUCCGGACCGAGUCUAUGAACGUCGUACCGUUGGGUGCUACGUGAUUACUGGAUGAGUGGUGCAUGGCCGUUCUUAGUUCGUGGUGUUAAUUGUCUACUUAAUUGUUAUCGUUCCCGUAUCUCACGGUACGGAGCGCAUAACGAACGAGAUCGAGACCCGUGGUUUACGUCAAUAGGUUAUUUGUGUACGACGUUUAAACUACGGGGAUCGCGUAAUACUCAACGGUACGAUCGAAAGACUCGGCAAUAACAGGUCUGUGAUGCCCUCAGAUGUUCUAGGCUGCACACGUGCUACAUUGUGAGUUGUAGUAUAUUGUGUAUGCGUAGAUAUGUCUAAGAUCCCCCGCAUCGAGUCUCAAUUACUCACGUGGUUGGACUCACCGAUUGUUGUAAUUAUUCGGUAUACUAACUAGGAAUGCCUCGUACCGGGUCGGUUCAACGAGACCCCCUGGAAUCCGUCCCUGCCCUUUGUACACACCGCCCGUCGCUCUUACCGAUGGCCGUGGUUAUUAGUUUAGUUGAGUCUCUCGCGAGGUGAAUCUAUGCGCGUAACCACGACUAAAGGAAAGAGAAGUCGUAACAAGGCAUCG